RNAcentral lists this ribosomal RNA (319 nucleotides) under uncultured eukaryote. RNAcentral describes it as "partial 18S ribosomal RNA". It matches the Rfam family "Eukaryotic small subunit ribosomal RNA", at positions 1470 to 1796 of the family's 1831-position model. The record is from RNAcentral.
CCCUUAGAUGUCCUGGGCCGCACGCGCGCUACACUGACGCCUACAGCGAGUACUUCCCAGCCCCGAGAGGUGGCUGGUAAUCAGCAAUAGGCGUCGUGAUGGGGAUAGAUCUUUGGAAUUAUGGAUCUUGAACGAGGAAUGCCUAGUAAGCGCAGGUCAUUAGCCUGCGCUGAUUAAGUCCCUGCCCUUUGUACACACCGCCCGUCGCUCCUACCGAUUUCGAGUGGUCCGGUGAAUCUUUCGGACUGCGCGCGGCCUCGUGCCGUGUCGCGGAAAGUCAGGUAAACCUUAUCACUUAGAGGAAGGAGAAGUCGUAACA